Molecule: small RNA, 2352 nt
Filed under: Pongo abelii (Sumatran orangutan)
Lineage: Eukaryota; Metazoa; Chordata; Mammalia; Primates; Hominidae
Description: retained intron
Source: RNAcentral
UUGAAAAACUUUUAAGGGUGAUAGGGAACUCGUAAUGUAACUAGGCCUUCAAGUGAAACUUAUUUGCAUGUGCGAGAUGCCAAACUAAAAAUUUUAAUAUCUCUAACAGAUUAGCUUUUCUGGCAAAAAUUUGUUGAAUCCUAUCACCUUUAAAUGGUUUUACUAACAGUUUCAAAAUUUAAAAUUUUGGGGUUGAAGUGUGGGCCAAGCUAAGGUAAUUUUGGUAAGCCUAAACACACUCUUAAAUGUGACGAUCACAAAUGCAGUUCUAAUGUAGCACUUAAUGGCAUCAAUAUUUACACCUACCGCGUUUUCACAAAAUUACACUAUCCACCUGGUACCUAAGUCUUGUCAUGGACUUACAGGUUUGCAUGGGUUCCAAAUACUGGUUUAUGGUACUGUUUUUGGAACUACUUGUGGGACUAUAUUUUGGUGUGGUGUUUGGGUAGUGAAGUUAGUUUGACAUGAAGUUUUGCAUUGGACAGAUCUGCUGUGAAGCAUUCUUUGUUAAAGUGAAUCUAUGGUUGGAAUACCUGCUUUUCACUUGAGCUUUUUGUUUCUUAAUCCUUCUGUGCCUUUUUUUUCUUUUCUUUUUUUUUUUUUUUGGACGAUGGGUGCCAGUUCUUCGGCACAUUCACUGGGCCCAACAGUGAGAUUGAAAAGUUGGGAAAUGCCUCACGCCAUAAAUACUGAUUGAUGAUGAGCCUAAUUUUCCUGUUUCUGCUUUUAGAUCUCCAAGAAGGAGAAGCUUCUCUCGCAGCCGGAGCAGGUAAAUGACUACCUUUUUUGGCUACAUUCUUAGAAAUGGCAGUGUUUCUGCUAUUCCUAAACUUUUCCAGAUGGCUUAGUUAAUGGGAAUAAACCUUGGCUUUAAUAGUGAAUCAGGUUGUAAGGAUGAGUCAGCUUUCUUGGAGUUUUCAAAGGCUUUUUAGAAAGUAUUUAAUUUUUUUAAAAAAGAGGAUCUGUCACCCAGGCUGGAGUGCAGUGGUGUGAUUAUAGCUCACUGUAGCCUUUAACUCCUGGCCUUGGAGUGAUCCUCCCUGUUCAGCCUCCUGAGUAGCUUGGACUUACAGGCACGUACUACCACACCUGGCUAAUUUAUUUUUUGUGGAGAUGGGAUCUCACUUUGCUGUCCAAUCUGUUCUCAAACUCUUGGCUUCAAGUGAGCCUCCUGCUUCUGCCUCCCAAAAUAUUGGAAUUAUUGGCAUGAGCCACCAUGCCAGAUCAAGAAAAUAUUUACAUAUGAUUUUAUCAUACCUUAUUGGUCCUAAUGUGUUCUUGCUCGUUUAGGUCCCUUUCUAGAGAUAGGAGAAGAGAGAGAUCGCUGUCUCGGGAGAGAAAUCACAAGCCGUCCCGAUCCUUCUCUAGGUCUCGUAGGUAAGAUCUUUGAUAACUUGUAUGUAAGACUUUGCAUACAUAGUAUGCUAAGGCCUGUCUUCUAAGCCAUAAAUUUUUUACCUUAAAGUUCUAUUUUGAUAUGUCACUAAGUGUCACCAAGUUACAGAUGUAAUGUUUUCUGUUUUUUUUUUUUUUUUUAGUCGAUCUAGGUCAAAUGAAAGGAAAUAGAAGACAGUUUGCAAGAGAAGUGGUGUACAGGAAAUUACUUCAUUUGACAGGAGUAUGUACAGAAAAUUCAAGUUUUGUUUGAGACUUCAUAAGCUUGGUGCAUUUUUAAGAUGUUUUAGCUGUUCAAAUCUGUUUGUCUCUUGAAACAGUGACACAAAGGUGUAAUUCUCUAUGGUUUGAAAUGGAUCAUACGAGGCAUAUAAUACCAACAAUUGUUACUUUACAAUGUUCCCUUAAGCAAAAUUGAAUUUGCUUUGAACUUUUAGUUAUGCACAGACUGAUAAUAAACCUCUAAACCUGCCCAGCAGAAGUGUGUUUUUUUUUUUUUUAAAUACAGAAACAACUGGCAAAAAUUGAACUAAGAUAUACUUUUUUUUCCAUAGCUGGGAUAUAGGCUGCAGCUAUAGUUGAACAAGCAGUCUUUAAAAACUGCUAUGAAACACAGGCCAUCAGGUAAAAACGAAACGCUGCACUAGAGGUUUUUGAAAAAUCCAACUCACUUUCAUCUUGGGCAGAGGUUGCCUAGUUGGUAUAGAAUGUUAAGUUUCAAGAAAGUUUACCUUUGCUUUAGGUCAUAAGUUCCUUAUUUGAUUGCUGUAUAUGAAUACAUGGCUGUUCGUGACAUUCUUUACGUGCAAAUUUGUGAUUUCAAAAAUGUCCUGCCAGUUUAAGGGUACAUUGUAGAGCCAAACUUUGAGUUACUGUGCAAGAUUUUUUUUUUCAUGCUGUCAUUUGUAAUAUGUUUUGUGAGAAUCCUUGGGAUUAAAGUUUUGGUUACAAAUUGUU